GACGAACGCUGGCGGCGUGCCUAAUACAUGCAAGUAGAACGCUGAAGCGAGGAGCUUACUCUUCUUGGAUGAGUUGCGAACGGGUGAGUAACGCGUAGGUAACCUGCCUUGUAGCGGGGGAUAACUAUUGGAAACGAUAGCUAAUACCGCAUAACAAUGGAUGACACAUGUCAUUUAUUUGAAAGGGGCAAUUGCUCCACUACAAGAUGGACCUGCGUUGUAUUAGCUAGUAGGUGAGGUAAUGGCUCACCUAGGCGACGAUACAUAGCCGACCUGAGAGGGUGAUCGGCCACACUGGGACUGAGACACGGCCCAGACUCCUACGGGAGGCAGCAGUAGGGAAGCUUCGGCAAUGGGGGCAACCCUGACCGAGCAACGCCGCGUGAGUGAAGAAGGUUUUCGGAUCGUAAAGCUCUGUUGUAAGUCAAGAACGGGUGUGAGAGUGGAAAGUUCACACUGUGACGGUAGCUUACCAGAAAGGGACGGCUAACUACGUG
Molecule: ribosomal RNA, 497 nt
Filed under: uncultured bacterium
Lineage: Bacteria
Description: partial 16S ribosomal RNA
Rfam family: Bacterial small subunit ribosomal RNA
Source: RNAcentral